This is a long non-coding RNA of Etheostoma spectabile (orangethroat darter), 95 nucleotides long. RefSeq lists it as uncharacterized. NCBI's taxonomy places the organism in Eukaryota, Metazoa, Chordata, Actinopteri, Perciformes, Percidae. The record is from RefSeq and is a predicted model, not a curated record. The transcript has 3 exons.
GUAUUUUCCGUUUCCUUCCACUUUCUGUGUUGAAAUUUUAAAUUUGGUGGAUUAAUGUGGACUAUUAUUGACUGCUUCUCAGAUCUCUGCAGGGU